AUCAGGGAAUUUCGGCGAGCCCCACGGGGAAGUGAACGCUCUGUCCUCGCUGUCCCCCGGCGUGUCGCGGUCGAAAGCACCCCGGGCAGAACUGGUGGCGUGAAGUGAGGGCACGUUCAGGGAACUGCAGGGAGCGGCUCCUUCUCUCGAGCGAAUAGGUGCCAAAGCCGCUGGAUUUCCAGCAGGGAGAAUCUCCGGCCGUGGGGUUUUGUGAGCCUGGCACGGCGGUGCCGUCCCUGCGCCUUCUGGAGUGGGGGCUCACCGUGAAGCAAAUGCCACGGUGUACAGCUACCAGAUACAGCUGGAAUGAACAGGACUAAAAACAAUCAUACAAACUCCCAGGCCAAGACGGACUUUCUGUAGGAAUCUCCCAGAAGCAAGAAGAGGUACUUCUUCUUGAAACAGCCCCCUGCUAUUUGUUGAAGUUCUCAGCAAUGCAGACAAGAUAAGAAGAAACUUAAGAGGGCAUUGGCAUAAUCAUAGAUGUGUGGCAAGGUAGGACAUUAAACGUGUUCCUGUGCCUCUGAAAGGUCAUUCUUCUGCUCAGAGAGGAGUGAUUUUUUUUUUUCAACAUAUUUGAAAAUAGUCUGAGAAGCUGGUUAUCAUUGAAGUAAUGAAAUAAGUCAUAUCUGAAGCAGUGACAUUUAAUUAGCCUUUAGUAUAGC
This is a long non-coding RNA of Myiozetetes cayanensis, 665 nucleotides long. RefSeq lists it as uncharacterized. The transcript is spliced from 3 exons. The record is from RefSeq and is a predicted model, not a curated record. Lineage: Eukaryota; Metazoa; Chordata; Aves; Passeriformes; Tyrannidae.